Molecule: ribosomal RNA, 253 nt
Filed under: uncultured bacterium
Lineage: Bacteria
Description: partial 16S ribosomal RNA
Rfam family: Bacterial small subunit ribosomal RNA
Source: RNAcentral
UACGGAGGGUGCAAGCGUUGCUCGGAAUUAUUGGGCGUAAAGGGUAGGUAGGUGGUCUCAUUUGUCUGGGGUGAAAGCCUUGAGCUUAACUCAAGAAGUGCCCCAGAAACGGUGAGACUGGAGUCCUGGAGAGGGUCGUGGAAUUCCCGGUGUAGCGGUGAAAUGCGUAGAGAUCGGGAGGAACACCAGAGGCGAAGGCGGCUCACUGGUCCGGUACUGACGCUGAGGUGCGAAAGCGUGGGGAGCAAACAGG